CUAAAGUAUUAAUAGUUAUGUUCUUUAAAUUUAAAAAAUUUGGCGGUAUUUUAGUCUGUUCAGAGGAACCUGUUUUAUAAUCGAUAUUCCACGUUGGACCUUACUUUAAUUUAUAAAUUAGUUUAUAUACCGUCGUUAUAAAAAAUUUUAUAAGAAUAAUAAUUUUUAAUAUAUUAAAUAAAAUUAAAUAUCAGAUCAAGGUGUAGCUUAUAUUAAAGAAAAUAAUGGGUUACAAUAAAUUUAUUUAUAUGGAAAUAAAUAUGAAAAAUUUAUAGAAAGUGGAUUUGAAAGUAAAAUUAUAUAGAUUAAUAAUUUGAUUUUAGCUCUAAAAUAUGUACAUAUCGCCCGUCACUCUUAUUAUUAAAAUAAGAUAAGUCGUAA
Molecule: ribosomal RNA, 381 nt
Filed under: Melaloncha horologia
Lineage: Eukaryota; Metazoa; Arthropoda; Insecta; Diptera; Phoridae
Description: partial 12S ribosomal RNA
Source: RNAcentral